Molecule: transfer RNA, 71 nt
Filed under: Apsilochorema hwangi
Lineage: Eukaryota; Metazoa; Arthropoda; Insecta; Trichoptera; Hydrobiosidae
Description: tRNA-Lys
Source: RNAcentral
CAUUAGAUAACUUAAAGCAAGUUUUGGUCUCUUAAACCACUAUAUAGUAAAAUAGCUCUUACUUCUAAUGA